Molecule: non-coding RNA, 21 nt
Filed under: Caenorhabditis elegans
Lineage: Eukaryota; Metazoa; Nematoda; Chromadorea; Rhabditida; Rhabditidae
Source: RNAcentral
UUUGGCCUAGAAAUUUAAGAU